This 256-nucleotide ribosomal RNA is filed under the name uncultured bacterium. Its description in RNAcentral is "partial 16S ribosomal RNA". It matches the Rfam family "Bacterial small subunit ribosomal RNA", at positions 524 to 776 of the family's 1533-position model. The record is from RNAcentral.
GACGUAGGUGGCGAACGUUAUCCGGAAUUAUUGGGCGUAAAGGGUGCGCAGAUGGUCUGACAAGUUAGCAGUGGGAAAUCGAGGCUCAACCUCGUGGAAGCUGGUAAUACUGUCUGACUCGAGUACAGGAGAGGUUAACGGAACUCCAUGUGGAACGGUAAAAUGUGUAGAUAUAUGGAAGAACACCAAUAACGGCGAAGGCAGUUAACUAUUCUGUUACUGACAUUAAGGCACGAAAGCGUGGGGAGCAAAACGG